UGUACAGAGUUAUACAUAAAAACAGUAUACAAUGGAAUUAACAACAAAAAUUAAUCGUGUACAUUAAGUAUUUUUUCCAGUAGUUGAGAUGUCUUAAUAGCUUUGGUAUUACUUUGUAUAGCAGUGAGGGAAUCAUAAAAAAGUUUUAGAUCAAUGAAAAAUAGUUUACAAUUUGGUACAGUCAGCAUACAUUUUGUUUUGUGGAUGUGAUACUUUCCAAAUAAAAUAAGAAUUUUUGCUUUUUUGUCCAUUUCCAGUAAUCCAGAGUUGCAAUCCGUAAAAAAAAACCAUUUGCUCAGUUAUACUGAUUAAUUUAUAAAACACUUCAAAAAGUAGUAAGGAAACUUGGGACCAAAACUGUUUUGUGUAACUGCAACUGAAAAAUAAAUGAAGAAUUGUUUCCGGUUCCUUUUUACAAAAACAACACAAGGGUGAAAAACCUUCCUUAAACUUACUUAUAAAAUCAUUGCAUGGAUAAUAUCUAUGUAAUAUUUUAAAAUUUGUUUCUUUUACUUUAUUAGGAAUAAUGUAUUUUGUAAUAUCUGACCAGAUUUUUGGGGAAAAGAAGAAUGAAGGGAAUGCUUGUUUAUAUUUAACCAUUGCAAUUGGAGGAACACUUUUAUCUGCAGUUAGGAUAUUCCUGAUAUAAUUGUUAUUACAUUUUUUAUCUUUGAUAGAAAGGCCCUUAAAACCUUACUGCAGUUGAAACAUAGCGCUGAUGCGGCGCCGCCUGAUGACGUCACAGGCUACGCCAAAAUAAAAAUAGCAAACCGAUGUUGAUUCAACGUUGAAUAAGGGGUUCGGGGGAGAAGAGACUUUCCUGAGGAUUUCAUAAUUCCUACAGGAUACCAGCAGGUUCCUGCAGAAAAAAAAUGAAGAAAACACAAGAACAGAAUAAACUCAAUGAAUGUAUCCUUACAUUAUGUAGGAACUGAAAUACCUUAGCAGGUGGCGGUGUGCAGUUUUACUCUGCUCUCUGACUCAACGCACAGCCAGAAGAAGAAGAGGUGCGUAGCGUCUAAACUUUCUUCUCCACAUCCAGCAGUUAAUACUGCUUUAGUUUCCUCUAGAGUUUCUGCUGGAGAUCAAACUUUUCAGAUCCAUCAUGGAGGACACGCACACUUCUGGAGAUCUGGAUUUGUUUGCAUCAUGGAGUGUGGAUGGAGAUGAUCAGACUGGAGACCUGCAGCAGGAUUCACUCCAACCAGAACAUGAUGAACUGCAGAGAGUCAAAGAGCAGCACAAAACUAGCAUGAAGAACAAGUAUGAGAGAUUAUUUGAGGGAAUCAACCAUGGAGAGACUCAAAAAUUCCUGAACAGGAUUUACACACAGCUCUACAUUAUAGAAGGAGAGAGUGAAGGAGUGAAUAGAGAGCAUGACGUUUUACAGAUAGAGAAAAGAGUCAGAACAAAACCCUCACAACACACUCCAGUCUACUGCAAUGACAUCUUUAAAGCCUCAGCUGGAGCAGGACAUGAGGAGAAGAUCAAGAAGGAGAAAGCCCAGAUCAAGACUGUUCUCACUAAAGGC
Danio rerio (zebrafish) is the source of this 1531-nucleotide non-coding RNA. The record is from RefSeq and is a predicted model, not a curated record. NCBI's taxonomy places the organism in Eukaryota, Metazoa, Chordata, Actinopteri, Cypriniformes, Danionidae.